UGGUGGAGUGGUUUGUCUGAUUAAUUCUGUUAACAAAUGAGACCCCUGCCUGCUAAAUAACCCGGUGAGUAAAUUUUCACUGACUGAUGGCUUCUUAGAGGGAUGUGUAUUCUAUCAGAUGCAGGAGGAUAGGGGCAAUAACA
Molecule: ribosomal RNA, 143 nt
Filed under: uncultured eukaryote
Lineage: Eukaryota
Description: partial 18S ribosomal RNA
Rfam family: Eukaryotic small subunit ribosomal RNA
Source: RNAcentral